This is a long non-coding RNA of Pezoporus flaviventris, 1168 nucleotides long. RefSeq lists it as uncharacterized. The transcript has 3 exons. Lineage: Eukaryota; Metazoa; Chordata; Aves; Psittaciformes; Psittacidae. The record is from RefSeq and is a predicted model, not a curated record.
CCGCGGGUACCCGAGCGAUCCCCCCUCCCCGGCCGCAGCCGCUGCCGCUCAUGCGUUGUGCCUCCACCUCCUCCUCGCCCGGGGCCGGGUCUUCAAGGAAGCGCGCACAGGAAAAAAAAAAACAAACCACCAACAGAACCGCUAUGGAGAGAAGUCGACAAAAAAAAAAAUGGCUUGGUUUCCCAGCCCGGGAUCUUCCUGGCCUCUUGCUGCCCUCCGCUCAAGCCAAGUCCGCCGCUGCCCUGGCGGGUGGUACUUACACGCGCCCCCCCUCCAUGCGCCCCCGGCUCAGGGCGGGCGGGCGGCGCUCCCCUCUGCCCUGCGCGGCGAAGGGGCCGUCAGUGGCGGGAGGGCGCGGGCAUCCCUGCCCGCUGCUCCACGGGGAUCAGCGCCCCGGCGCUACUCUGGGGCAUCCGCGCCGCUCGGCCGGGCGCGGGGCUGGUGGCGGCGCUGGGAGGAGGUGGCGACGGGGCUCGGCGCGGCGCGGGGCACAGGCAGGGUUCCCCGGGACGAUCUCCAUGAACAGCUACAUGUUUAGGGCCGCUCGGGUUAAUAUAUGUCGUCAGAAGCGGCGGCCGCCAAUGGCUGGCGGCUGGGGCGGGGUCCGCCGCCCUCCGCAAUAAAACUUUUUGAUGUUCGCUCUGCUAAUUGCCGAGCUCCUCUUUUAGGAUUGGCUGCCCCUCCGCAUCCAUAAUGUAAUUAAAACAAGGGGGGAAAAAUUAUCAUGGAGGCAGAGGUUAAUGCAAGUGUUUAGCAGAUGCUUUACUGUAAAAUCUGCAUUAAAAAAAAAAAAACAAAAAAAAAAAUCCAAAAACCAAAACCCAAAACCAAUAACAACAAAAACCCAACAAACGCAUAAAAACCUAAAUAUCGGACAAUCUCAAACCAGCCCGCUGCCUGCUGCUACGCACCCCGACCUGCACUCACCCAGCGAACGGCUCCGGCAACAGGUUUCAAGCUCCUUUAACUGGUCUGAUGGGAAAGUAACUGAAGAAGCCGGAAAAUUGAGAACUGAAUGUCACGUACCUCCUCAGACCUGCAGGGAAACCCAGCCGUGACCAAAACAUUGGGUGUAAAUGCGACAACAAAAAUAAAUACUUUACAUCACCGAGCAGAACAUAUUUUACGAAGUCAACGCUUUGUUUUUCUGCUUCUCGUUUUUUCCUUU